RNAcentral lists this ribosomal RNA (639 nucleotides) under uncultured organism. Its description in RNAcentral is "bacterial SSU rRNA". It matches the Rfam family "Bacterial small subunit ribosomal RNA", at positions 809 to 1462 of the family's 1533-position model. The record is from RNAcentral.
AUGAAUGCUAGGUGUGGGAUCGAAUGGUUCCGUGCCGGAGCGUACGCGAUAAGCAUUCCGCCUGGGGAGUACGGCCGCAAGGUUUAACUCAAACGAAUUGACGGGGCCCCGCACAAUCAGCGGAGCGUGUGGUUUAAUUCGAUGGUACACGAAGAACCUUACCUGGGUUUGACAUGUAGGUGGUAGUGAAUCGAAAGGUGAACGACCCUUCGGGGAGCCUACACAAGUGCUGCAUGGCUGUCGUCAGCUCGUGCCGUGAGGUGUCGGGUUAAGUCCCGUAACGAGCGCAACCCUUGCUCCUAGUUACAAGUGUCUAGGGGGACUGCCGGCGGAAAGCCGGAGGAAGGUGGGGAUUACGUCAAGUUAGCAUGGCCCUUAUAUCCAGGGCUACACACACGCUACAAUGGUCGGUACAAAGGGCAGCGAAACCGCGAGGCGGAGCGAAUCCGAGAAAAGCCGAUCGUAGUUCGGAUAGCAGGCUGCAACCCGCCUGCUUGAAGCUGGAGUUGCUAGUAACCGCGCGUCAGCCAUAGCGCGGUGAUACGUUCCCGGGGCUUGUACACACCGCCCGUCACGUCAUGGGAGUCGGUAACGCAUGAAGCCGGUAGUCUAACUGGUAACAGGAGACGCUGUCGAGGG